Molecule: ribosomal RNA, 406 nt
Filed under: uncultured bacterium
Lineage: Bacteria
Description: partial 16S ribosomal RNA
Rfam family: Bacterial small subunit ribosomal RNA
Source: RNAcentral
AUUGAACGCUGGCGGCAGGCCUAACACAUGCAAGUCGAACGAGUGGCGGACGGGUGAGUAAUGUCUGGGAAACUGCCUGAUGGAGGGGGAUAACUACUGGAAACGGUAGCUAAUACCGCAUACCAUCGGAUGUGCCCAGAUGGGAUUAGCUAGUAGGUGGGGUAACGGCUCACCUAGGCGACGAUCCCUAGCUGGUCUGAGAGGAUGACCAGCCACACUGGAGCUGGGACCAGGUCCAGACUCCUACGGGAGGCAGCAGUGUGGAAUAUUGCACAAUGGGCGCAAGCCUGAUGCAGCCAUGCCGCGUGUAUGAAGAAGGCCUGCGGGUUGUAAAGUACUUGCAGCGGGGAGGCGUUACCCGCAGAAGAAGCACCGGCUAACUCCGUGCCAGCAGCCGCGGUAAUUC